Molecule: ribosomal RNA, 253 nt
Filed under: uncultured bacterium
Lineage: Bacteria
Description: partial 16S ribosomal RNA
Rfam family: Bacterial small subunit ribosomal RNA
Source: RNAcentral
UACGGAGGGCGCAAGCGUUAUCCGGAUUCACUGGGCUUAAAGGGUGCGUAGGUGGGUCUGUAAGUCAGUGGUGAAAUCUCCGUGCUUAACAUGGAAACUGCCAUUGAUACUAUAGGUCUUGAAUUUUCUGGAGGUCAGCGGAAUAUGUCAUGUAGCGGUGAAAUGCUUAGAUAUGACAUAGAACACCAAUUGCGAAGGCAGCUGGCUACAGGGAUAUUGACACUGAGGCACGAAAGCGUGGGGAUCAAACAGG